RNAcentral lists this ribosomal RNA (544 nucleotides) under uncultured bacterium. RNAcentral's name for it is "bacterial SSU rRNA". It matches the Rfam family "Bacterial small subunit ribosomal RNA", at positions 959 to 1509 of the family's 1533-position model. The record is from RNAcentral.
ACGCGAAGAACCUUACCUAGCCUUGACAUAUUUAAGAACUCCGUAGAGAUACAGAGGUGCCUUCGGGAGCUUUCUUACAGGUGCUGCACGGCUGUCGUCAGCUCGUGUCGUGAGAUGUUGGGUUAAGUCCCGCAACGAGCGCAACCCUCGUCACUAGUUACUAACGGUUCGGCCGAGGACUCUAGUGAGACUGCCUUCGCAAGGAGGAGGAAGGUGAGGACGACGUCAAGUCAUCAUGGCCCUUACGGCUAGGGCAACACACGUGCUACAAUGGCCAGGACAAUGAGACGCAAUACCGCGAGGUGGAGCAAAUCUAUAAGCCUGGUCUCAGUUCGGAUUGUAGUCUGCAACUCGACUACAUGAAGCUGGAAUCACUAGUAAUCGUAGAUCAGCUAUGCUACGGUGAAUACGCUCCCGGGUCUUGUACUCACCGCCCGUCACACCAUGGGAGUUGAUUUCACCCGAAGCGGGGAAGCUAAACUGGCUACCCUCCACGGUGGAAUUAGCGACUGGGGUGAAGUCGUAACAAGGUAACUAAUUAAAA